Molecule: long non-coding RNA, 754 nt
Organism: Morone saxatilis (striped sea-bass)
Lineage: Eukaryota; Metazoa; Chordata; Actinopteri; Moronidae
Exons: 6
Source: RefSeq, a predicted model, not a curated record
GUAGUCUCCUGUGUGAGAGCGGCAGAGACACUCAGAGGCUGGAAAGAGAAAACCCGUUUGACAAGCACAACAAGAGGCAGUGAAACUCCAAACCGGAGGGCAGGUUGUUUGUGGAUUCCUGGAGCCUGUCUCAUGAAGAAGAUAAACUUUGCUGAAUAAAACCUUCAAACCUGAUCUGGAACAUGGACUGAAGAGAGAGACUUGUAUUGGGUUUUACUCAGGGAAAUGUAGGGGAAGGACAGCUGUCAAGACUUAUCAGAGGCAGUGAGAUACAGCAGGCCCCUAAACGUGGGCGCCGGGUCACAAUGCUCCUCUGUGCACCCUGACGUAUGGCAUCCUGGCACUGAUAUGGCCCUGGAAAAUUCUCAGGAUGAACACCCGUGCCAAAAGCCUUCAAACCUCCCAAACCCUGGGAUGGCGUCCUCUGGGGCUCAUGCUUGAUUGUCUGGGCCUCAGCUUACAAACCACUGAAAGAGAGACAGCUCUAAGGAGCAGCUGAAGAGAGGCAGGAGAGGAGAUGACACGCAGCAAAGGCCCGCUGGUUGGAACCUACAAAGACACAGGUACAAGGAAUAGACAGGAGACGACUUCUCGUAGACAGGUGAAAUGAUUCCAGUGUGGUCAUAUUGCUCAUGUAGCCUUCACUUCUGUUCAGGCAAGUUGGAUGUUUUUUUAUUUUUAUUUUAUUUUUUUGCCAUCAGCAGAAUAAUCUGUUCAAUUUCCCGGCCUGUGUUUGAUUUUGCAAUGCAGAUUG